This 250-nucleotide ribosomal RNA is filed under the name uncultured bacterium. RNAcentral's name for it is "partial 16S ribosomal RNA". It matches the Rfam family "Bacterial small subunit ribosomal RNA", at positions 524 to 776 of the family's 1533-position model. The record is from RNAcentral.
UACGUAGGGUGCAAGCGUUAUCCGGAAUUAUUGGGCGUAAAGAGCUCGUAGGCGGUUUGUCGCGUCUGCUGUGAAAACUGGGGCUCAACCCCAGCCUGCAGUGGGUACGGGCAGACUAGAGUGCGGUAGGGGAGAUUGGAAUUCCUGGUGUAGCGGUGGAAUGCGCAGAUAUCAGGAGGAACACCGAUGGCGAAGGCAGAUCUCUGGGCCGUAACUGACGCUGAGGAGCGAAAGCAUGGGAGCGAACAGG